UACGUAGGGGGCGAGCGUUGUCCGGAUUCAUUGGGCGUAAAGAGCUCGUAGGCGGCUUACUAAGUCGAAUGUGAAAACUCCAGGCUCAACCUGGAGCCUGCAUUUGAUACUGGUAUGGCUAGAGUCCGGUAGGGGACCACGGAAUUCCUGGUGUAGCGGUGAAAUGCGCAGAUAUCAGGAGGAACACCGGUGGCGAAGGCGGUGGUCUGGGCCGGUACUGACGCUGAGGAGCGAAAGCGUGGGGAGCGAACAGG
Molecule: ribosomal RNA, 254 nt
Filed under: uncultured bacterium
Lineage: Bacteria
Description: partial 16S ribosomal RNA
Rfam family: Bacterial small subunit ribosomal RNA
Source: RNAcentral